This 402-nucleotide ribosomal RNA is filed under the name Bacteroidota bacterium. Its description in RNAcentral is "Bacteroidetes bacterium partial 16S ribosomal RNA". It matches the Rfam family "Bacterial small subunit ribosomal RNA", at positions 355 to 776 of the family's 1533-position model. Lineage: Bacteria; Pseudomonadati; Bacteroidota. The record is from RNAcentral.
UGGGGAAUUUUGCACAAUGGGGGAAACCCUGAUGCAGCGACGCCGCGUGAUUUAGAAGGCCUUCGGGUUGUAAAAAUCUUUUCUUUGGGAAGAAAAUGACAGUACCAUAGGAAUAAGGACCGGCUAAUUACGUGCCAGCAGCCGCGGUAAUACGUAAGGUCCGAGCGUUGUCCGGAAUCAUUGGGCGUAAAGGGUACGUAGGCGGGUAAGCAAGUUAGAAGUGAAAUCCUGUAGCUCAACUACAGUAAGCUUUUAAAACUGCUCAUCUUGAGAUAUGGAAGGGAAAGUGGAAUUCCUAGUGUAGCGGUGAAAUGCGCAGAUAUUAGGAGGAAUACCGGUGGCGAAGGCGACUUUCUGGCCAUAAUCUGACGCUGAGGUACGAAAGCGUGGGUAGCAAACAGG